GUUGGAGGUUACUACGAUGCUGGUGACCAUGUGAAAUUUGGUCUACCAAUGGCAUUUACAGUAACAAUGUUGUCAUGGAGUGUUAUUGAAUAUGGUGAAGAGAUUUCGUAUUCGGGAGAAAUUGAACAUGCUUUUGAAGCUAUCAAAUGGGGUACUGAUUAUUUCAUCAAAGCACAUACUAGUCCAAAUGUCUUAUGGGCUGAGGUCGGAGAUGGAGAUACUGAUCAUUAUUGUUGGCAACGUCCGGAAGACAUGACGACUUCUCGUCGAUCAUUUAAGAUCGACGAGAAUAACCCUGGCUCUGACUUAGCUGGGGAGACAGCUGCCGCGAUGGCAGCUGCUUCUAUUGUGUUUAGGAAAAGUAAUCCGCAUUACUCUCACUUACUAUUGCACCAUGCCCAACAGUUAUUUGAGUUUGGUGACAAGUACAGAGGAAAGUAUGACAAAAGUGUGGGAGUAGUGAAAAAUUAUUAUGCAUCAGUGAGUGGGUACGAAGAUGAGUUGUUGUGGGCAGCAUUGUGGUUAUACAAAGCCACCGACAAAGAAGAUUAUUUGGAGUAUGUAAUUAACAAGGCAAAUUCAUUUGGAGGUAUUGGUUGGGCUAUUACUGAGUUCAGUUGGGAUGUUAAAUUUGCUGGUUUACAAAUUAUUGCUUCUAAGAUACUGCAGGAGAAAAAAUACAACAAACACAUUCACAUACAAGAACAAUAUCGUUCAAAAGCCGAACACUACAUAUGUUCAUGUCUCAACAAAAACAACGGUACUACCAACGUCAAUCGUACCCCAGGCGGACUAUUAUACGUCCGUCAAUGGAACAACAUGCAAUACGUAUCGAACGCGGCCUUCCUCCUCACAUUCUACUCGGAUUUCCUUAGAAAAAUCGACAAAAAAAUCGUGUGUCAUGGAGGAAUAGUUGAUCAUGAAGA
RNAcentral lists this unclassified non-coding RNA (926 nucleotides) under Hevea brasiliensis (rubber tree). The record is from RNAcentral. Lineage: Eukaryota; Viridiplantae; Streptophyta; Magnoliopsida; Malpighiales; Euphorbiaceae.